AUACGGAGGGUGCAAGCGUUAAUCGGAAUUACUGGGCGUAAAGCGUACGUAGGCGGUUAUUUAAGUCAGAUGUGAAAGCCCCGGGCUUAACCUGGGAACUGCAUUUAAAACUGGCGGACUAGAGUUGAGUAGAGGGGAGUGGAAUUUCAGGUGUAGCGGUGAAAUGCGUAGAGAUCUGAAGGAACACCAGUGGCGAAGGCGACUCCCUGGACUCGAACUGACGCUGAGGUACGAAAGCGUGGGUAGCAAACGGGAUUAGAUACCCCGGUAGUCC
This 274-nucleotide ribosomal RNA is filed under the name uncultured bacterium. Its description in RNAcentral is "partial 16S ribosomal RNA". It matches the Rfam family "Bacterial small subunit ribosomal RNA", at positions 523 to 796 of the family's 1533-position model. The record is from RNAcentral.